GGAAGAGUGGCGAACGGGUGAGGAACACGUAAGAAUCUGCCCCUCGGUCGGGGACAACUUUUGGAAACGAAAGCUAAUACCCGAUACGCUGUGGAGUGAAAGAAUUUCGCCGAGGGAUGAUCUUGCGUCUGAUUAGCUAGUUGGUGUGGUAAAGGCAUACCAAGGCGACGAUCAGUAGCUGGUCUGAGAGGAUGAUCAGUCACACUGGAACUGAGACACGGUCCAGACUCC
Molecule: ribosomal RNA, 231 nt
Filed under: uncultured bacterium
Lineage: Bacteria
Description: partial 16S ribosomal RNA
Rfam family: Bacterial small subunit ribosomal RNA
Source: RNAcentral